GAUGAACGCUAGCGGCAGGCCUAAUACAUGCAAGUCGAACGGUUGUAGUAAUACAAUAGUGGCGCACGGGUGCGUAACACGUAUGCAACCUACCUUAUAGACGGGGAUAGCCUUUGGAAACGGAGAUUAAUACCCGAUAGCAAUAUUGACUGGCAUCAGUUUAUAUUUAAAGAUUUAUCGCUAUAAGCUGGGCAUGCGUCCAAUUAGUUAGUUGGUUAGGUAAUGGCUGACCAAGACGAUGAUUGGUAGGGGAACUGAGAGGUUAAUCCCCCACACUGGCACUGAGAUACGGGCCAGACUCCUACGGGAGGCAGCAGUAGGGAAUAUUGGGCAAUGGAGGCAACUCUGACCCAGCCAUGCCGCGUGCAGGAUGAAGGCGUUAUGCGUUGUAAACUGCUUUUAUAUAGGAAGAAAUAGACCUUGCGAGGUAAGUUGACGGUACUAUAUGAAUAAGCACCGGCUAACUCCGUGCCAGCAGCCGCGGUAAUACGGAGGGUGCAAGCGUUGUCCGGAUUUAUUGGGUUUAAAGGGUGCGUAGGCGGUUUAUUAAGUCAGUGGUGAAAGACGGUCGCUCAACGAUUGCAGUGCCAUUGAUACUGGUAGACUUGAGUGAGAUUGAGGUAGCUGGAAUGGAUAGUGUAGCGGUGAAAUGCAUAGAUAUUAUCCAGAACACCAAUUGCGUAGGCAAGUUACUAAGUCUCAACUGACGCUGAGGCACGAAAGUGUGGGUAUCAAACAGGAUUAGAUACCCUGGUAGUCCACACUGUAAACGAUGAUAACUAACUGUUGGCUUUCGGGUCAGUGGUACAGAGAAAUCGUUAAGUUAUCCACCUGGGGAGUACGCCGGCCACGGUG
Molecule: ribosomal RNA, 855 nt
Filed under: uncultured bacterium
Lineage: Bacteria
Description: bacterial SSU rRNA
Rfam family: Bacterial small subunit ribosomal RNA
Source: RNAcentral